Molecule: long non-coding RNA, 176 nt
Organism: Aphis gossypii (cotton aphid)
Lineage: Eukaryota; Metazoa; Arthropoda; Insecta; Hemiptera; Aphididae
Exons: 3
Source: RefSeq, a predicted model, not a curated record
AUUAAUUAAUUUUAUUGAUAUAUUUAUAACUUAAAUAUUUAACUUUAAUUUACUAGAAAUAUUAAGUGAUCAAGGUUUUAAUGGUCAAUGGAAACAUGAUUUGGAUAAAUGUCGAAAAUUGAUUGCUGAAUAUGAUGAGAAAACAAAAAAUUAUGAAUCCCCACAGCUUUUGGAUG